UCCCUCUCAGGGUCGCUCCUGGAGAGUUUCCAUUCCUCUACCAGUCUCGACUAUGGGAGGAAGAGUCAAGCAGAGGCAUAUCCAUUCCACUCCUAUCUUGGGUAGUGGCCAGCGAGUGGAAGGCAAUCUGCUACAAGU
This is a small nucleolar RNA of Tachyglossus aculeatus (Australian echidna), 138 nucleotides long. The record is from RefSeq and is a predicted model, not a curated record. Lineage: Eukaryota; Metazoa; Chordata; Mammalia; Monotremata; Tachyglossidae.